AUUCAAUAUUCCAUUUCAGUUGGAAAUACGUCACUACACUGGAAUAAAGUCGGCAGCAACUUCGGCUUCACGUGGACUUUAACAGUGUGGGAACUGAACCGCAAGGAUUCAAAUACAAAUGUCCUCAAGGCAAUUUUAACUGAACAGCUGGACCAUUUUACCUGAAUGUUGUGCCGUGGCUCAAGAAGUCAUCUCGAGGCCCCUAUGGAAACUUGCUGAGGCCUCCUAGUGGGCCCUGAACCCCUGGCAGAGAUCCAAUUAUAUACAGGAUAAAGAUGAAGAGCAUUCACUUCAGAACGCAACGUGAAAUGUGUUGUCUUAAUCAACUGGACAAAUAGAGCCAUUUGUUUUGCCGCCCAUCCUCCCGAACACAUAAUCUCCUUUCCAGACUAGCAGUAGAGUUGGUGCAUAUAUCAUAUAUCACGAUCACAUGAGCCCUGCAUACUCCCACAAUGCACCCUGCCGGGUUUCUAAUUGGCUGAUGGGUUGUAAAGGUGACACUUCGCCCUUUCCACCCUCGCCCCUGCCCCCACCUCCAUGGGGGGAAGUGAUGCGUCGUCAUCUGACCUUGAGUGCCUUUGGCUGCAACCGAUUGGCUUGUGCUGGUGCGGAUGAGCAAAGUCAUCAAACAUUAAUGUGCAAAUCUAAUAAGCACACUGAGGUUCAGAGGGCUGGCGUGAAGCUUGAUCGUGAAACCGCAGCUCAGCAGAAGCCAGGCCCCGCCCCCUCUCUCACUAAAUCAAUCCGUCAAUCAAUGGGCCCGCAUUAUUCCACCAUCUUUCCGCCGCUUGCAAAAAUUAUACCGUGGCGGCAAAUUGUCUCUUAUAAAAGACCUGAGAGAUAUCAUGUGAAGAAUUGAUCAAUAAGGCCACGGAUGUUUUUUGAUUUUGCAUUAUGUGUUAGGCUACAAAAGAUUAGGUUUUUUUAUGGUUCAUUGAUGCAUUAUGAAGAAAAUGUUUGU
Long non-coding RNA from Onychostoma macrolepis, 961 nucleotides. RefSeq lists it as uncharacterized. The record is from RefSeq and is a predicted model, not a curated record. The transcript is spliced from 4 exons. Lineage: Eukaryota; Metazoa; Chordata; Actinopteri; Cypriniformes; Cyprinidae.